CGAAAUCAUUUAGGUGAUGUUC
RNAcentral lists this non-coding RNA (22 nucleotides) under Arabidopsis thaliana (thale cress). Lineage: Eukaryota; Viridiplantae; Streptophyta; Magnoliopsida; Brassicales; Brassicaceae. The record is from RNAcentral.